AGCGUACACGGUGGAUGCCCUGGCAGUCAGAGGCGAUGAAGGACGUGCUAAUCUGCGAUAAGCGUCGGUAAGGUGAUAUGAACCGUUAUAACCGGCGAUUUCCGAAUGGGGAAACCCAGUGUGAUUCGUCACACUAUCAUUAACUGAAUCCAUAGGUUAAUGAGGCGAACCGGGGGAACUGAAACAUCUAAGUACCCCGAGGAAAAGAAAUCAACCGAGAUUCCCCCAGUAGCGGCGAGCGAACGGGGAGCAGCCCAGAGCCUGAAUCAGUGUGUGUGUUAGUGGAAGCGUCUGGAAAGGCGCGCGAUACAGGGUGACAGCCCCGUACACAAAAAUGCACAUGCUGUGAGCUCGAUGAGUAGGGCGGGACACGUGGUAUCCUGUCUGAAUAUGGGGGGACCAUCCUCCAAGGCUAAAUACUCCUGACUGACCGAUAGUGAACCAGUACCGUGAGGGAAAGGCGAAAAGAACCCCGGCGAGGGGAGUGAAAAAGAACCUGAAACCGUGUACGUACAAGCAGUGGGAGCACGCUUAGGCGUGUGACUGCGUACCUUUUGUAUAAUGGGUCAGCGACUUAUAUUCUGUAGCAAGGUUAACCGAAUAGGGGAGCCGAAGGGAAACCGAGUCUUAACUGGGCGUUAAGUUGCAGGGUAUAGACCCGAAACCCGGUGAUCUAGCCAUGGGCAGGUUGAAGGUUGGGUAACACUAACUGGAGGACCGAACCGACUAAUGUUGAAAAAUUAGCGGAUGACUUGUGGCUGGGGGUGAAAGGCCAAUCAAACCGGGAGAUAGCUGGUUCUCCCCGAAAGCUAUUUAGGUAGCGCCUCGUGAACUCAUCUCCGGGGGUAGAGCACUGUUUCGGCAAGGGGGUCAUCCCGACUUACCAACCCGAUGCAAACUGCGAAUACCGGAGAAUGUUAUCACGGGAGACACACGGCGGGUGCUAACGUCCGUCGUGAAGAGGGAAACAACCCAGACCGCCAGCUAAGGUCCCAAAGUCAUGGUUAAGUGGGAAACGAUGUGGGAAGGCCCAGACAGCCAGGAUGUUGGCUUAGAAGCAGCCAUCAUUUAAAGAAAGCGUAAUAGCUCACUGGUCGAGUCGGCCUGCGCGGAAGAUGUAACGGGGCUAAACCAUGCACCGAAGCUGCGGCAGCGACGCUUAUGCGUUGUUGGGUAGGGGAGCGUUCUGUAAGCCUGUGAAGGUGUACUGUGAGGUAUGCUGGAGGUAUCAGAAGUGCGAAUGCUGACAUAAGUAACGAUAAAGCGGGUGAAAAGCCCGCUCGCCGGAAGACCAAGGGUUCCUGUCCAACGUUAAUCGGGGCAGGGUGAGUCGACCCCUAAGGCGAGGCCGAAAGGCGUAGUCGAUGGGAAACAGGUUAAUAUUCCUGUACUUGGUGUUACUGCGAAGGGGGGACGGAGAAGGCUAUGUUGGCCGGGCGACGGUUGUCCCGGUUUAAGCGUGUAGGCUGGUUUUCCAGGCAAAUCCGGAAAAUCAAGGCUGAGGCGUGAUGACGAGGCACUACGGUGCUGAAGCAACAAAUGCCCUGCUUCCAGGAAAAGCCUCUAAGCAUCAGGUAACAUCAAAUCGUACCCCAAACCGACACAGGUGGUCAGGUAGAGAAUACCAAGGCGCUUGAGAGAACUCGGGUGAAGGAACUAGGCAAAAUGGUGCCGUAACUUCGGGAGAAGGCACGCUGAUAUGUAGGUGAAGCGACUUGCUCGUGGAGCUGAAAUCAGUCGAAGAUACCAGCUGGCUGCAACUGUUUAUUAAAAACACAGCACUGUGCAAACACGAAAGUGGACGUAUACGGUGUGACGCCUGCCCGGUGCCGGAAGGUUAAUUGAUGGGGUCAGCGCAAGCGAAGCUCUUGAUCGAAGCCCCGGUAAACGGCGGCCGUAACUAUAACGGUCCUAAGGUAGCGAAAUUCCUUGUCGGGUAAGUUCCGACCUGCACGAAUGGCGUAAUGAUGGCCAGGCUGUCUCCACCCGAGACUCAGUGAAAUUGAACUCGCUGUGAAGAUGCAGUGUACCCGCGGCAAGACGGAAAGACCCCGUGAACCUUUACUAUAGCUUGACACUGAACAUUGAGCCUUGAUGUGUAGGAUAGGUGGGAGGCUUUGAAGUGUGGACGCCAGUCUGCAUGGAGCCGACCUUGAAAUACCACCCUUUAAUGUUUGAUGUUCUAACG
Molecule: ribosomal RNA, 2188 nt
Filed under: Escherichia coli 2-210-07_S4_C3
Lineage: Bacteria; Pseudomonadati; Pseudomonadota; Gammaproteobacteria; Enterobacterales; Enterobacteriaceae
Description: bacterial LSU rRNA
Rfam family: Bacterial large subunit ribosomal RNA
Source: RNAcentral